GUGUGUUAGGUGUUAAUGCAGCGUGUUGAGUUGGUACCCAGCUGUCUGUAGAAGUGGUGUGUUAGGUGUUAAUGUGGUGAGUUGGUACCCAGCUGUCUGUAGAAGUGGUGUGUUAGGUGUUAAUGCAGCGUGUUGAGUUGGUACCCAGCUGUCUGUAGAAGUGGUGUGUUAGGUGUUAAUGUGGUGAGUUGGUACCCAGCUGUCUGUAGAAGUGGUGUGUUAGGUGUUAAUGCAGCGUGUUGAGUUGGUACCCAGCUGUCUGUAGAAGUGGUGUGUUAGGUGUUAAUGUGGUGAGUUGGUACC
Molecule: long non-coding RNA, 303 nt
Organism: Oncorhynchus keta (chum salmon)
Lineage: Eukaryota; Metazoa; Chordata; Actinopteri; Salmoniformes; Salmonidae
Exons: 6
Source: RefSeq, a predicted model, not a curated record